RNAcentral lists this ribosomal RNA (332 nucleotides) under uncultured bacterium. RNAcentral's name for it is "bacterial SSU rRNA". It matches the Rfam family "Bacterial small subunit ribosomal RNA", at positions 568 to 898 of the family's 1533-position model. The record is from RNAcentral.
CGUGUAGGCGGGAAAGAAAGUCAGAAGUGAAAUCCCACGGCUUAACUGUGGAGCUGCUUCUGAAACUUCUUUUCUUGAGUGUCGGAGAGGAAAGUGGAAUUCCAAGUGUAGCGGUGAAAUGCGUAGAGAUUUGGAGGAACACCAGUGGCGAAGGCGGCUUUCUGGACGAUAACUGACGCUGAGGCGCGAAAGCGUGGGGAGCAAACAGGAUUAGAUACCCUGGUAGUCCACGCUGUAAACGAUGGAUACUAGGUGUAGGAGGUAUCGACCCCUUCUGUGCCGCAGUUAACACAAUAAGUAUCCCACCUGGGGAGUACGGCCGCAAGGUUGAA